RNAcentral lists this ribosomal RNA (300 nucleotides) under uncultured bacterium. RNAcentral describes it as "bacterial SSU rRNA". It matches the Rfam family "Bacterial small subunit ribosomal RNA", at positions 211 to 507 of the family's 1533-position model. The record is from RNAcentral.
UUUAUCACUUGAAGAUGGCUGUGCGGCUGAUUAGGUAGUUGGCGGGGUAACGGACCCACCAAGCCUGCGAUCAGUAACUGGUGUGAGAGCACGACCAGUCACACGGGCACUGAGACACGGGCCCGACUCCUACGGGAGGCAGCAGUAAGGAAUAUUGGUCAAUGGACGAAAGUCUGAACCAGCCAUGCCGCGUGGAGGAUGAAGGUCCUCUGGAUUGUAAACUUCUUUUAUAUGGGACGAAAAAAGGGCUUUCUAGCUCGUCUGACGGUACCAUAUGAAUAAGCACCGGCUAACUCCGUG